CCUCCUGCGCCCUCUGAACUCCAGACAGUACUUCUGGAUGGCACCUCCCUUUCUCCUUCUCCCCAGCACCCCCCACCUUCGCUGCCUCCCUAAGUGCUCUGGGCUGCAGGGUGUUUCCAGGUGCUGGCCGCAGUCGCAGCCCACAGAUGCGAAAGGCAGAGGUAGAAGUCACCCUCUUUCGCUGGGUCCAGGUACAGCAGAAUUUAAAAUCCAGUCCCUAGAGUCGCACAAAUGUCCAUGUCCUCCGCCCCCUCUUCUUGAGCUGAGGGUAUUUUGGAACCCAAGGGACAGCAACUAUGACGGAAGCCAGCUUGUGGGCACUUCCCAUAAGCAAGCCACACCUGGAAUGCUCAAAAUAGUGAAUCCCUGCCUCAGCUCAUUCCCAAAGCACAUGGGUCCGGGGCAGAGGGUCUAUCUAGACUCCCCCAUGGUCCUCCUCAGGCGGUGUGGCUCCUGGCAGCGUCCACUGCAGAGGAGUGGCUCUCCCUAACACAGCCCUUGGCAGCUGAGUGCCCUGGGCCCCGUGAGCUGACUGACAUGGGGUCUGGCCUCCGGCUUCCUUGCUGUUGCUCCUCCCCAGCGGCGGAGGGCAGGAGGAGCACAAACCUGCCCAACCUGGUACCUGGUCUUUUCACAUGUCCACUCAUUAAGCUGCUUCAUUUCAAGCUGGGGGUAUAGAGCAUCUGGAUGGUUUAAAACAACACAUCCUACCUGGCCGUGCCGUGUGUGUAGGACGUUUUCCUGACCUUCCUCCUCUACCCAGGGACAGUGUGUGUGCACGUGUGAUCUGACAUAUGAUCUGCAUGUAAAUGAACCAUCUUCGGGGACCAGGGACACAAGAACAGGUGAGCGUGGCCUGCCUGGCUGGCAAGCUUUGAAGAGUUACUGAUCAGAGGACGCAGGUACCACAGAAAUCCACAGUGCUCCCGAAAACGCUGAACAGCAGGACGUUUCUCAAAACGUCUCAGCCCUUCAGUAUUUUACAGGAAUUCCAACUCGAGCAGCUUUACGCAGUCAUUAUCACUUAAUUACCAAUAUAAAUCUCUCUAGCAACUUCCAUAACUUCAUUGCAAAGGAACACGCACACCUCCUAAAUCAUCACCUCCUUUUCUCCCCCCAGAUCAUCCGCUGACAGAUUUGUGGGGGCUCCAGGUUUCCUGAGCGAUUCCUCUCGGAACACAGACAAUGCAGUUGUACCCCUUCUGUUGGUGGGGCUGCUGAGGGCAGGAGCCUAGGUUGUUUGCUUGAAAGGUUAAAGACCUUGCUGAACUUUUUAGUGAUCCGAGGCCAAGUUUCCGGUAUGCAAUGAAAACUGAAACCUGGUUUUGGGUUUCCUUACCAAGUUCUCACAUAGCCUGUUGUGAC
Molecule: long non-coding RNA, 1365 nt
Filed under: Marmota monax (woodchuck)
Lineage: Eukaryota; Metazoa; Chordata; Mammalia; Rodentia; Sciuridae
Source: RNAcentral